This is a non-coding RNA of Butyrivibrio proteoclasticus, 88 nucleotides long. The record is from Rfam. NCBI's taxonomy places the organism in Bacteria, Bacillati, Bacillota, Clostridia, Lachnospirales, Lachnospiraceae.
GUUUGCGUGACCGAGAUGGCUUAUGGUGCUGCACUGCUAAUGCAGAGCACGGAAAACUGUGCCGAAGGUUCGAAUCCUUCCGCAAACG